CAGCUGAAAAGCAUGGUGCCACCAAUCCUUGCACUUCAAGUUCCCGUUUGCCUCAUUGGGAGUCCAGCCAACUUGCUGUCUGUUGUUUAGUGUGGGCGAGGAGAUGGGAGGAAAGAACUGGGUGAUGGGAGGGUAGGAGGACAAAGAGACACUGUGGGGAGUGGAAAUUUCAUUGAAGGGGGCGAAGGAGGGGAGAGUGAGAAACAAGACUCUUGAUGGGGGAAAAAUGCAGCUUCAGAGGUCUCUUGGAGAAGUCCCUGAAGGUACAUUUAUCAGGCUUGUCUCCAGGAAGGUUGUCUUCUUGGAAGAACUGUCAUCUCCAAAAUUCAAAUCCAAAUGGGGACAUUAGGUUGAUGAAAAGUCAUGCCUGGGUUUAGGAGGAAAAAGGAGAAAAUUGUGAAGGUGGAAGAGUCAUCAUUUAAAUUCCUCUACACUUUAAGAGAUGGUUUGUUUGUCCCAAUAAGAUGACCAGGGGGAGCCAUCCCGAGAGUGAGCCUCAUUCUAUAGCAUGUUAAAAAUGGAAAGAUCAGAAGGGUAGGAGCCAAAAUCCCCCAGUUCAAGCGUCAACUCUGCCACUUACUACCUGUAUAAUCUUAUGCAAGUCAUCGUCUUUGAACCUGUUUCUUAUUUAGAAAAUGGGAAGAAUUAUAGUACUUCUGUCUCCUUCAUGAAACUGUGUGUAGAAGUAAAUGAAAUGUGCAAAUCAAAUCAAAUGUAUUAAAGUGCUUUGUAAUCAUAAACACUAUGCAAUUAUGGAAUAUUAUUUAUAUAAUAAAAAUAUAUUUGGCUCAGUGGUUGUCUAUUGG
This 806-nucleotide long non-coding RNA is filed under the name Monodelphis domestica (gray short-tailed opossum). Its description in RNAcentral is "lncRNA (ENSMODG00000031999.2)". The record is from RNAcentral. Lineage: Eukaryota; Metazoa; Chordata; Mammalia; Didelphimorphia; Didelphidae.